Molecule: long non-coding RNA, 556 nt
Organism: Esox lucius (northern pike)
Lineage: Eukaryota; Metazoa; Chordata; Actinopteri; Esociformes; Esocidae
Source: Ensembl
CUAGAUAUUGUAGCGGGCUAGCAGCAAAGUGUAGGUAAGAAAGUGUAGUGUAAGUCUAGCAUAGAAUUUUAAAGGAAAUAUAAAUGACAACUAAUAUCGCCGCUAGGACAGUCUAUAUUUGGACCUCGUAGGUGUGUGUGCUCUUGUCCCUGUCAGGAAGGUGUGGCCAAUAGCCAGUCCAUGUGGAGCAGGCACAGAGAAGAGGACAACCAGAACUAACUGAGACAGACUCCCAGUCCCUGCCCCUGCAUUGCAUAAUGCUCCCACCACCACGCUUCACUGUCUCGAUGACAUAAACCAGGUGAUGGGCAGCACCGUGUUUCGGCCAGACAUAGCGCUUGGCAUUUAUGCCAAAUAGUUUGACUUUUGUCUCACCAGACUAGAGACUCUUUUUUUCCAUGAUCUCAGAGUCCUUCAGGUGGAAUGUUAUGUGUCUUUUACUCAGGAGUGGCAUCCGUCUAACCAUUCUACCAAGCAGGCCUUUCUGACAGGUUCUCUGUUAGAGUGGCCAUUGGGUUCUUGGUCAACUCCCCGACCAAUGCCCUUCUUGCCCGCU